Molecule: unclassified non-coding RNA, 299 nt
Filed under: fungal sp.
Lineage: Eukaryota; Fungi
Also listed under: 1 other name
Description: partial internal transcribed spacer region
Rfam family: Eukaryotic small subunit ribosomal RNA (bases 1-46)
Source: RNAcentral
AAGUCGUAACAAGGUUUCCGUAGGUGAACCUGCGGAAGGAUCAUUAGCAUACGCGUUGACCCGUGUGAUGUAAAAAUCUCUCGGGCCCAACAGCGCCAAACCAUGUGAACCUGGAAUGUAUAUAGCUGUGCGGCGAGGAGCGCGCUGACGAGAGAUGGGGGGUUUGCUGCUUGCAUAUUCUUCUCUCUUGAAUGUGUGUGGGUGCGCCGCAUGGUCAACUAAACCUGUAACUUUUAUAAUUACACAAACAACCAUAUUAACUAAAUACACAACUUUUAACAAUGGAUCUCUUGGCUCCU